Acyrthosiphon pisum (pea aphid) is the source of this 2651-nucleotide long non-coding RNA. RefSeq lists it as uncharacterized. Lineage: Eukaryota; Metazoa; Arthropoda; Insecta; Hemiptera; Aphididae. The record is from RefSeq and is a predicted model, not a curated record. The transcript is spliced from 3 exons.
AACAACAGAAAUGUUUUGGAAAUUAUAUCAUGUAGAAAUAUUAAUAUUUGUUGGAAAUUUCAAGUUUCAUUUACGAAUUAUUACAAAAACAAUUAACCUAUCAGAUUCAACCAAAACCCAUUAUAUUGCAUUGUUACUACAAAACUAGGUACUUACCUAAGAAUUAAUUAUGUAAGUAGUAAUUAAUUAUAAUAAUAUAAGAAACAUAAAAAUAAAAACCAAUAAUAUGGAAAUUGGCAGUAUAUAUCACCAUAAUAGAAGUUUUAAACUUAUAUUUUAGAAAUGAACGUCAAAAUUAUCAGUCGUGGUGAUGAAAAUGUCAAGUUUAUUAUAUUUAUGCAUUUUCUCCAGUCGUUUUUAGCUUUGCUAUUGUUAGAUUUUAGUAUCUUUAUAAUAAUUUAUAUAAUUCAUCUGUGCACCUGUUCUGAUCAUGUAUAACAUCUAAAUUCUAAACGACUUGACCGUUUUAAAUAAAAUGUAUAUCAAUAGAUUCCUAGAUACUCAGGGAUAUAGUGUACACACCUUAUUUUUUCAAUCUCUAUGGUAGGUUCUUAUAAAGUAGUUCACACGUGCAUUUAAUUUUGGCUCACUCAAAUCUAAUAUUUUUUCUUAAUUUAAAUGGUUGCCAUUGGUUACAGUUAAUAAAAUUAUUAUUAUGAUUGGACCACAGAUAUAUAAUAUAAUAACUAGAUACCCGACUCCAUAUUCAUCAACAUUAUUGAAUUAUAACGCCCAACGCCAUUUGUCACUUGGGCAAUGUUUAAAAAUUCUAAUUCUUUUGACUCGCAACGGGCGUGUUUGAUAUGAAAUGUUGUUGUUUAUUAUCAUAUUACCUUCGUAACGAUUAAUAAACAUUGCCCAAGUUGUAAAUGUCUGCCAGCGUUAUUGGUAAGAAGAAGUCGGGUAUCUAGUUAUUAUAUAUGUCUGUGGAUUGGACAUAUUUUUCUGUCUUGUAUUAUAUUUUAUUAUUAAUUAUUUGACUAGUAAAUCUAUUCUAUAUAAAUUUAAAAUUCAGUAACAGCUGUUAUAUUGGAGAAAAAGUGUAUGUAGUUAAGGAUUACAUACUAAAAUAGAUAGGUAUAGAUAGUCAGAUAGAUUAUAAUAGAUAGUUGGUUAUAAUACAGAUAUUAUUAGUCUGGCUACCGGAUACCCAUAUAUAUAUCAAAAUGACACAUUUGAAAAUCCAAUGCGUUUGACCAAUUGGCACCAAAUUUUACACACAUACUACGGGUAAGUGGUAACACCUAUUAAAUAUAAAAAGCAAAGUGUAUGACUGACGCUUAUAGAAUCAAAAUAAUAUUCUACAGACUUUUACGAUUCAAGGAAGGUUUGGAGAAUAGAUUGAACCAGUUAUUUUAGGGUGGCCUGCUAAUAUGAAAAUCAUAACGUCAUAUUUCAAUAUUUGUUUAUUUCUGCUCACAAUCAGUCAGCGUAAGAAAAAAAGUUACUUAUUAAUUUCUAGUUAUUAGUAAUACAGAUAAAUAAAGUAUAUAAUAUACUUAUAUAGAUAUAGAUUAAAUUAACCACGUUGGAAGUUAUGAAAUUGAUAGAACUAUCAAUAUUUAUAUAAGCUAAACAAAUUGUUUUAAUAUUAUAUAAAAAUUAAGCUGAGGCUUCAGCCCCUCUAAAAAAUUUAUCAAGCUCCGCCCAUGUCUAUACAAUAUUUUUUGUUCUUGUGCGUAGUGCGCAGAUACACGGAAAUUAUAGCAAAAUCGAUGACCAAGAACAACCUAACCAGUUACCUCACGGGCCAAAAUCGUUCACUUCUACAGUAGUUCUGUAUUUUCUUAUACCUAUUAUAUUUAUUUAUAUUAAACAUUAUAAUGUACUUGUAUUUUAUAAAAUCAAAGAACCAGUAUAAUUAUAUUUGCAUGUACUCAGCAGAAUCUUCGCGGAAAAUUGUUUAAUUGGUUUUCGCAGUGUACGAGCUCCACUGAACCAAACAGGUUACGAUAAACGGAGAGGAUCUAAAUAAUGUAUUUUUUAUCAUGUCGUAUAUAAUAUUAUUGUGGUGGUAGCAUAGCCUUCUCCCCCCCCCCCCCCGCAAAUACACAUCGCGCCAAGGUAACGUACAUACACUAACUCUGAACCAAUUAGAAGACGGUCCGAGUAAAGUUUUGAUGUAAAAACGUGUGCUCAGUGUACGCGAUAAUAAAAUACUUCAGUGUCGGUUAUUAGAACUGCCAACUUCAUAUUAUCACAUAUUAUAUUAUCUGAUGCAGUCUCCGAAACGACUUCCGAUCGAGGACAACUUGCCACGUGCCACCUAUAUCAAAGUUUGAUUUUGAUAGGUACAUUAUACUCCAGCCCAAGAGAUUCUUCGACCAAAAUCAUCAGAUUCCGCACACCCCUCACUCACAACUUAUUGGCCCACCGACAGCAGGUCACUGCCAGUCAUUGUGCAUGUGAAUGAUCAAUGUCAUUCCGUGAAGGUAUGCGAUACUUAAAAGUCGAUUUAGAGGACACAGGCAUUUGUUGUCUCUGUCUUACAAGUACAUAACAUAGCAAAUUGUAAUAGCAGAACACACGUAGCUCCAUAGGUUUAAAAAUUAGAAUGAAUUCAUCUCUUAUAAAAUUUAAAGGUAAGAAUAUUAUCUAGGCAAUAUCAUUAGCUUUUUAUUAUAUUUUAAUUUUAAAGCGAGUUAGGAGUA